This 403-nucleotide ribosomal RNA is filed under the name uncultured bacterium. Its description in RNAcentral is "bacterial SSU rRNA". It matches the Rfam family "Bacterial small subunit ribosomal RNA", at positions 355 to 775 of the family's 1533-position model. The record is from RNAcentral.
UGGGGAAUAUUGGACAAUGGGGGCAACCCUGAUCCAGCCAUGCCGCGUGAGUGAUGAAGGCCUUCGGGUUGUAAAGCUCUUUUGGCGGGGACGAUGAUGACGGUACCCGCAGAAUAAGCCCCGGCUAACUUCGUGCCAGCAGCCGCGGUAAGACGAAGGGGGCUAGCGUUGUUCGGAAUUACUGGGCGUAAAGCGCGUGUAGGCGGUUGCCAUAGUCAGGUGUGAAAGCCUUGAGCUUAACUCAAGAAAUGCACUUGAUACUGGGCGACUAGAGGACCGGAGAGGAUAGUGGAAUUCCCAGUGUAGUGGUGAAAUACGUAGAGAUUGGGAAGAACACCAGUGGCGAAGGCGGCUAUCUGGACGGUUACUGACGCUAAGACGCGAAAGCGUGGGGAGCAAACAG